This 2931-nucleotide ribosomal RNA is filed under the name Escherichia coli. RNAcentral describes it as "23S ribosomal RNA". It matches the Rfam family "Bacterial large subunit ribosomal RNA". Lineage: Bacteria; Pseudomonadati; Pseudomonadota; Gammaproteobacteria; Enterobacterales; Enterobacteriaceae. The record is from RNAcentral.
GGGUUGUGAGGUUAAGCGACUAAGCGUACACGGUGGAUGCCCUGGCAGUCAGAGGCGAUGAAGGACGUGCUAAUCUGCGAUAAGCGUCGGUAAGGUGAUAUGAACCGUUAUAACCGGCGAUUUCCGAAUGGGGAAACCCAGUGUGAUUCGUCACACUAUCAUUAACUGAAUCCAUAGGUUAAUGAGGCGAACCGGGGGAACUGAAACAUCUAAGUACCCCGAGGAAAAGAAAUCAACCGAGAUUCCCCCAGUAGCGGCGAGCGAACGGGGAGCAGCCCAGAGCCUGAAUCAGUGUGUGUGUUAGUGGAAGCGUCUGGAAAGGCGCGCGAUACAGGGUGACAGCCCCGUACACAAAAAUGCACAUACUGUGAGCUCGAUGAGUAGGGCGGGACACGUGGUAUCCUGUCUGAAUAUGGGGGGACCAUCCUCCAAGGCUAAAUACUCCUGACUGACCGAUAGUGAACCAGUACCGUGAGGGAAAGGCGAAAAGAACCCCGGCGAGGGGAGUGAAAAAGAACCUGAAACCGUGUACGUACAAGCAGUGGGAGCACGCUUAGGCGUGUGACUGCGUACCUUUUGUAUAAUGGGUCAGCGACUUAUAUUCUGUAGCAAGGUUAACCGAAUAGGGGAGCCGAAGGGAAACCGAGUCUUAACUGGGCGUUAAGUUGCAGGGUAUAGACCCGAAACCCGGUGAUCUAGCCAUGGGCAGGUUGAAGGUUGGGUAACACUAACUGGAGGACCGAACCGACUAAUGUUGAAAAAUUAGCGGAUGACUUGUGGCUGGGGGUGAAAGGCCAAUCAAACCGGGAGAUAGCUGGUUCUCCCCGAAAGCUAUUUAGGUAGCGCCUCGUGAAUUCAUCUCCGGGGGUAGAGCACUGUUUCGGCAAGGGGGUCAUCCCGACUUACCAACCCGAUGCAAACUGCGAAUACCGGAGAAUGUUAUCACGGGAGACACACGGCGGGUGCUAACGUCCGUCGUGAAGAGGGAAACAACCCAGACCGCCAGCUAAGGUCCCAAAGUCAUGGUUAAGUGGGAAACGAUGUGGGAAGGCCCAGACAGCCAGGAUGUUGGCUUAGAAGCAGCCAUCAUUUAAAGAAAGCGUAAUAGCUCACUGGUCGAGUCGGCCUGCGCGGAAGAUGUAACGGGGCUAAACCAUGCACCGAAGCUGCGGCAGCGACGCUUAUGCGUUGUUGGGUAGGGGAGCGUUCUGUAAGCCUGUGAAGGUGUGCUGUGAGGCAUGCUGGAGGUAUCAGAAGUGCGAAUGCUGACAUAAGUAACGAUAAAGCGGGUGAAAAGCCCGCUCGCCGGAAGACCAAGGGUUCCUGUCCAACGUUAAUCGGGGCAGGGUGAGUCGACCCCUAAGGCGAGGCCGAAAGGCGUAGUCGAUGGGAAACAGGUUAAUAUUCCUGUACUUGGUGUUACUGCGAAGGGGGGACGGAGAAGGCUAUGUUGGCCGGGCGACGGUUGUCCCGGUUUAAGCGUGUAGGCUGGUUUUCCAGGCAAAUCCGGAAAAUCAAGGCUGAGGCGUGAUGACGAGGCACUACGGUGCUGAAGCAACAAAUGCCCUGCUUCCAGGAAAAGCCUCUAAGCAUCAGGUAACAUCAAAUCGUACCCCAAACCGACACAGGUGGUCAGGUAGAGAAUACCAAGGCGCUUGAGAGAACUCGGGUGAAGGAACUAGGCAAAAUGGUGCCGUAACUUCGGGAGAAGGCACGCUGAUAUGUAGGUGAAGUCCCUCGCGGAUGGAGCUGAAAUCAGUCGAAGAUACCAGCUGGCUGCAACUGUUUAUUAAAAACACAGCACUGUGCAAACACGAAAGUGGACGUAUACGGUGUGACGCCUGCCCGGUGCCGGAAGGUUAAUUGAUGGGGUCAGCGCAAGCGAAGCUCUUGAUCGAAGCCCCGGUAAACGGCGGCCGUAACUAUAACGGUCCUAAGGUAGCGAAAUUCCUUGUCGGGUAAGUUCCGACCUGCACGAAUGGCGUAAUGAUGGCCAGGCUGUCUCCACCCGAGACUCAGUGAAAUUGAACUCGCUGUGAAGAUGCAGUGUACCCGCGGCAAGACGGAAAGACCCCGUGAACCUUUACUAUAGCUUGACACUGAACAUUGAGCCUUGAUGUGUAGGAUAGGUGGGAGGCUUUGAAGUGUGGACGCCAGUCUGCAUGGAGCCGACCUUGAAAUACCACCCUUUAAUGUUUGAUGUUCUAACGUUGACCCGUAAUCCGGGUUGCGGACAGUGUCUGGUGGGUAGUUUGACUGGGGCGGUCUCCUCCUAAAGAGUAACGGAGGAGCACGAAGGUUGGCUAAUCCUGGUCGGACAUCAGGAGGUUAGUGCAAUGGCAUAAGCCAGCUUGACUGCGAGCGUGACGGCGCGAGCAGGUGCGAAAGCAGGUCAUAGUGAUCCGGUGGUUCUGAAUGGAAGGGCCAUCGCUCAACGGAUAAAAGGUACUCCGGGGAUAACAGGCUGAUACCGCCCAAGAGUUCAUAUCGACGGCGGUGUUUGGCACCUCGAUGUCGGCUCAUCACAUCCUGGGGCUGAAGUAGGUCCCAAGGGUAUGGCUGUUCGCCAUUUAAAGUGGUACGCGAGCUGGGUUUAGAACGUCGUGAGACAGUUCGGUCCCUAUCUGCCGUGGGCGCUGGAGAACUGAGGGGGGCUGCUCCUAGUACGAGAGGACCGGAGUGGACGCAUCACUGGUGUUCGGGUUGUCAUGCCAAUGGCACUGCCCGGUAGCUAAAUGCGGAAGAGAUAAGUGCUGAAAGCAUCUAAGCACGAAACUUGCCCCGAGAUGAGUUCUCCCUGACUCCUUGAGAGUCCUGAAGGAACGUUGAAGACGACGACGUUGAUAGGCCGGGUGUGUAAGCGCAGCGAUGCGUUGAGCUAACCGGUACUAAUGAACCGUGAGGCUUAACCUUACAACGCCGAAGGUGUUU